CCUACGGGAGGCAGCAGUGGGGAAUAUUGCACAAUGGGCGCAAGCCUGAUGCAGCCAUGCCGCGUGUGUGAAGAAGGCCUUCGGGUUGUAAAGCACUUUCAGCGGGGAGGAAGGCGGUGAGGUUAAUAACCUCAUCGAUUGACGUUACCCGCAGAAGAAGCACCGGCUAACUCCGUGCCAGCAGCCGCGGUAAUACGGAGGGUGCAAGCGUUAAUCGGAAUUACUGGGCGUAAAGCGCACGCAGGCGGUCUGUCAAGUCGGAUGUGAAAUCCCCGGGCUCAACCUGGGAACUGCAUUCGAAACUGGCAGGCUAGAGUCUUGUAGAGGGGGGUAGAAUUCCAGUUGUAGCGGUGAAAUGCGUAGAGAUCUGGAGGAAUACCGGUGGCGAAGGCGGCCCCCUGGACAAAGACUGACGCUCAGGUGCGAAAGCGUGGGGAGCAAACAGGAUUAGAUACCCCGGUAGUC
This 465-nucleotide ribosomal RNA is filed under the name uncultured Klebsiella sp. RNAcentral's name for it is "bacterial SSU rRNA". It matches the Rfam family "Bacterial small subunit ribosomal RNA", at positions 338 to 795 of the family's 1533-position model. The record is from RNAcentral. Lineage: Bacteria; Pseudomonadati; Pseudomonadota; Gammaproteobacteria; Enterobacterales; Enterobacteriaceae.